UACGUAGGUGGCAAGCGUUGUCCGGAUUUACUGGGCGUAAAGAGCGCGCAGGCGGUCGUUCAAGUCGCGUGUGAAAGCCCCCGGCUCAACUGGGGAGGGUCACGCGAUACUGAUCGACUCGAAGGCAGGAGAGGGUAGUGGAAUUCCCGGUGUAGUGGUGAAAUGCGUAGAUAUCGGGAGGAACACCAGUGGCGAAGGCAGCUCGCUGGGACGGUACUGACGCUGAGACGCGAAAGCGUGGGGAGCAAACAGG
RNAcentral lists this ribosomal RNA (253 nucleotides) under uncultured bacterium. Its description in RNAcentral is "partial 16S ribosomal RNA". It matches the Rfam family "Bacterial small subunit ribosomal RNA", at positions 524 to 776 of the family's 1533-position model. The record is from RNAcentral.